AUUGAACGCUGGCGGCAAGCCUAACACAUGCAAGUCGAGCGGAUGAAGGGAGCUUGCUCCUGGAUUCAGCGGCGGACGGGUGAGUAAUGCCUAGGAAUCUGCCUGGUAGUGGGGGAUAACGUCCGGAAACGGGCGCUAAUACCGCAUACGUCCUGAGGGAGAAAGUGGGGGAUCUUCGGACCUCACGCUAUCAGAUGAGCCUAGGUCGGAUUAGCUAGUUGGUGGGGUAAAGGCCUACCAAGGCGACGAUCCGUAACUGGUCUGAGAGGAUGAUCAGUCACACUGGAACUGAGACACGGUCCAGACUCCUACGGGAGGCAGCAGUGGGGAAUAUUGGACAAUGGGCGAAAGCCUGAUCCAGCCAUGCCGCGUGUGUGAAGAAGGUCUUCGGAUUGUAAAGCACUUUAAGUUGGGAGGAAGGGCGGUAAGUUAAUACCUUGCUGUUUUGACGUUACCAACAGAAUAAGCACCGGCUAACUUCGUG
Molecule: ribosomal RNA, 484 nt
Filed under: uncultured bacterium
Lineage: Bacteria
Description: partial 16S ribosomal RNA
Rfam family: Bacterial small subunit ribosomal RNA
Source: RNAcentral